Non-coding RNA from Podarcis muralis (Common wall lizard), 375 nucleotides. NCBI's taxonomy places the organism in Eukaryota, Metazoa, Chordata, Lepidosauria, Squamata, Lacertidae. The record is from RefSeq and is a predicted model, not a curated record.
AGAGAUGAAGAUCUUGAGGAGCUUCAGAGACGUCGGCAGCUACAGGAGGAACAACUGAUGAAGCUCAACUCAGGUCUGGGACAAUUGAUAUUAAAAGAAGAAAUGGAGAAGGAAAGGUCUUCGCUUCCCCAGCAGCCGUUAUAACUCUCCAGUUAAUUCAUCUCCACAUGCAACUGCUUCCAAAACCUCUUCCCUUCCUGGCUAUGGAAGAAAUGGACUUCAUAGGCCGGUCUCUACAGACUUUGGUCAGUACAACAGUUAUGGGGAUGUGAGCAGCGCUGCUCGAGAUUUUCAGUCCCUCCCAGAUGGUCAUGUCCCUGGAAUGCGAAUGGACCGAGGAGUGUCUAUGCCUAACAUGUUGGAACCAAAGGCAAG